CUUUUAAAUAAGGCUUUAACUACAGUGCGACAAGGAUCUCUUGGCGCGUGGCUAAAAUUGGAACUAACACCGCCAUCUUGUGAAGUCCAUGGAGAUUUUAUUAGCUGGCAGGCUUUGUU
Molecule: long non-coding RNA, 119 nt
Organism: Maniola jurtina (meadow brown)
Lineage: Eukaryota; Metazoa; Arthropoda; Insecta; Lepidoptera; Nymphalidae
Exons: 4
Source: RefSeq, a predicted model, not a curated record